UACCACAGCCGAAUCAGCCUGCAGUCCAAGACUGGUUACUCACUAAAACUAAGCAGGGCUGCACCUGGUCAGUAACUAGGUGGGAGACCACAUGGAAAAACCAGGUUGCUGUUUGGA
RNAcentral lists this ribosomal RNA (117 nucleotides) under Danio rerio (zebrafish). Lineage: Eukaryota; Metazoa; Chordata; Actinopteri; Cypriniformes; Danionidae. The record is from RNAcentral.